AAGUCGUAACAAGGUUUCCGUAGGUGAACCUGCGGAAGGAUCAUUAAUGAAAUUAUGACUGGGGUUGUAGCUGGCCUAUAAAACGGCAUGUGCACGCUCCUUUCACAAUCCACACACACCUGUGCACCUUCGCGGGGGUCUUUUUUUCUCUUCGGGGGAAUAAAGGCUCGCGUCCCUUUACACACCCUUUGUAUGUCUUUAAGAAUGUCUACUCGAUGUAAUAAAACGCAUCUAAUACAACUUUCAACAACGGAUCUCUUGGCUCUC
Molecule: unclassified non-coding RNA, 267 nt
Filed under: Stereum ostrea
Lineage: Eukaryota; Fungi; Basidiomycota; Agaricomycetes; Russulales; Stereaceae
Description: partial internal transcribed spacer region
Rfam family: Eukaryotic small subunit ribosomal RNA (bases 1-46)
Source: RNAcentral